CGAAUAAAUCAUGGAACAGGUGCUGCAAGAGCCGUAAGGCUGUUGCAAGCUUAAUAGGGAAGUCCGGUUAAAAUCCGGCACGGACCCGCCACUGUAAGAAGCGGUCUAAGUUUAUUUAGACCCGUGUGCCAGCUUAAGUCACUGAAUGCAAGAUUCGGGAAGACGCUGGCGCUACUGCUUCAAGUCAGGAGACCUGCCUGUUCGCAUAACGCUGU
Molecule: non-coding RNA, 215 nt
Filed under: Paenibacillus sp.
Lineage: Bacteria; Bacillati; Bacillota; Bacilli; Caryophanales; Paenibacillaceae
Source: RNAcentral